This 1175-nucleotide unclassified non-coding RNA is filed under the name Hevea brasiliensis (rubber tree). Lineage: Eukaryota; Viridiplantae; Streptophyta; Magnoliopsida; Malpighiales; Euphorbiaceae. The record is from RNAcentral.
AUAAUCCAAAUGAUUUGAAAUGAACUCUAAAAAACUGGCUUGUUGAAAGCGGCGCGUGAAGUGACCUGGACCUAAAUCAACUUUUACUCGACCCAAUUUCCACUUUUAUGAGUGAAAUUGAGUAAUUGUGUGAGGAUGAUUCAAAAUUCAACACAACAAAAACUUGCUAAGCUGCCUAGAGAUUCUACUUUGAAACUUCACAACUUUGUCUGCAUUCAUGCCCAGCAACAUAGACAUUUAUGAUAUACAUGUAGCAAGGACAGAGCUUUGGAUAGAUUGGACCUAAGGAAUUAGAGUAGCCAUAACUAUCAUGAUGCCUUGAACUUGAUUUUUGUCUUAAAUGAUGGGAUGGGACAAAGCUGAUGCUGAUUAGCAUGGUGGUGGUUGCUGGUGAAUGAUAGUGGAAUGGCAUUAGAAUUACCUUCAUGAGUGAAGUCGGUAAUGAAAAAUGAAAUGAGAAAGUGACAUUCACAUGAGAGGGAGAGAGGAUUGGGGAUUCCAUUAAUGCAGGAGAGAAAAGAGAGGCGAGGAUUAUUCUAAGAAAACAACAUUUAUACUAAAAAUUACAUUGUGGCCACAGCCAGAAUGAUUGUAGCAAUAGGCCCAUCUGCCGUAUCAAUGCAUCUUCAAAGAACUGGCCACAAUAAUAUUUUUGGCUAAAUUUCAUGUUUUGUUUGGUUACUAAUCCUAAAAUGAAAGUAUCAUUGCACGGUUGAUGAAGUACUAUUUUUUUUCAAUCCAUUAAAACUUAUAAUUAUAUUCACACUCAUGAAGAAAGAUUACAUUCAUCCCUCAGAAAAGGAGAUUUAAAUAAAUAAAAUAAAAUUAUAUGAUAUGAAACUCAGCUAAAAAUUUUCAUAUAGGAGCCAAGAAGAUGAGCUGUAAUGCUUAUCCUAACUCUGGCCUAUUUUUCUUGUUCAAUAUUUUUACCCCCAGUAUCACCAUAGAGUAUGACAAUUCAACAGAAAUUAUUAUUUUUUUUCAUCGUUGUUCUGGGACAUUUAAUUCUUGUGGCAAAUAGUGAGUUCUGAGGUUUGUACUCUUUACCCUUUGAAGAAUAUUCUUGAUUUGGUUCAACAUAAAGUUAGGUUCUAUGCAAACAUUAUUAAUAAUUAUCAGUUUUAGUUUUAUUUAUGAGAACAUCUUGUGUACAGAGGAAAGUUGCUUCUGAGAAG